CAUGUCAUUUUCUUGUUUGGUGA
RNAcentral lists this non-coding RNA (23 nucleotides) under Arabidopsis thaliana (thale cress). Lineage: Eukaryota; Viridiplantae; Streptophyta; Magnoliopsida; Brassicales; Brassicaceae. The record is from RNAcentral.